Homo sapiens (human) is the source of this 1639-nucleotide long non-coding RNA. Ensembl annotates it as endogenous Bornavirus like nucleoprotein 3, pseudogene. Its record names the gene EBLN3P. The record is from Ensembl. NCBI's taxonomy places the organism in Eukaryota, Metazoa, Chordata, Mammalia, Primates, Hominidae.
GACACAGAAGGCGACGCCUAGGGCUGUGUUGUCCCGGAAGUGCCUUCUCUCCUCCCGGGUCUGCGCGGACGCGGCCUCCUUACCUCAUUUGUCCUCGCCCCUCCCCGUCCCUCUACGCGUUUUGGUCCCUGUUUGGUGCUUUCUGUUUGCAGCUACGGCAGUGAGUAUGCUGGAGUGUAGUGGCGUGAUCAUAGCUCACUGUCAACUUUGAACACUUGGGCUCAAGCUAUCCUCCCUCAGCCUCCCAAGGUGGGAGGUACAGAUCUGGGCAUAGGAACCAAUCAGAAACAAUCGCUUCAGCAAUCAAGACCAUUGUUCAUCAUGGAGGAACCCAUGGAUACCUCUGAGCCUCUAUCUGCAUUACCAUUCACUGGGCAGCAGUCUUUUGAGCCAAGUGGCAAAUUUGGACAGUAUCCAUCGAUGCAGAUGAACCACAUCCAGGCACUGGGGAAGUGGAGGACAUAGAACAGCUCAAUCAGUGUUUGAUCCAACACUUCCAUCUCAUUAAGACAAGUUUGAUUUUUCUUUGCUUUUUAUUUCAUGGAAUACAUGAGAAUCUCUUAACUGUUGGAGUUUCCAAGGAGGCAUACCUCAUGACUUCAGUUAAUGGAAAGAACAAAACUAAAAUGCUGUAUGGCCAAAGCCACAAAGGGAAGGAUCCACAAUUUACAUUCUUGGAGCUAUCAUCUGUACUGUACUGUUGUGAUCUACUGAUUGGCAUUGGCAUAGUAGUAGGGGUCAAGUGACAGAAUCCGUGCCAGCAGUCUCCAGGUUCAGAAGCAAUUCAAGACCCUGAUGAUAGCUCUCCAGCAACCAACACAUGGUGAUUGUGCCAACUUGUUGCUCAGUUAUAAUGCAGGGCCAGUGAUUGGUUUAAGUGAAGACCAUGGUUGAGAUCAUUUGUCUUUGGUCUAAUAGAAUUUGAGUCUAGUAGAAUUUGAGUCUCCAGGGAAAGAGCUACUUGACCAAAUUAAACUAGUAGCAGGUAGAGCAUGAAUGACAGCAUAUUAUACCAUCAAGAUGUUCUUAGAGCAGUGUAUGGAUGGAUCGAUUGUACUGCCAUCAGUUGUGACUGACGUUGUAUUCAAGGAGAAAGAGAAACUUGUUUAGAAAGCACUUUGAAAGUUUUUUGAGUACGGGGGUGCCCUGUAUCACCCCGUUAUGGUUGAACUUUCUCCUUCAAAAUUACCAGACUUGGCAGCAGUGGCAAAUUAUUGGGCUAAAAGACUUAAUCAGACAUAUUCUGGGUUCAAGGCUCCUAAUAUAAUACCUGGUGCAAACAUUAUACUUCCACUCAUUCAGAUGGUUGCAUCCUGCCAGGCAUCCAGUGGGACUGGGAAUAUGGACACUUGAACAUUAAACAUCCUGAAGAAUUUUGGAAUGACAGGUUACAAGUGAACAUAAUCAGUUCUCUAUAUUAAAAAAAAAAAAAGAUUUGGGCAUAGAUUGGGCUCACAUAAUCUUUAGAGAGAUUUUUUCAUUUUUGUGAAAGUACAGAAAUUCUUAACUGCUUAUGAAAUGCUGAUUGUUAAACAGCAUCCACAGCUAUUUUGUGUUGUUUCCCUGACCCCACCCUGAAGAAAAGAAAAAUUAUGGCAUAUUGAAAACAGCAGUAUGAUGUAAGAGAAAAGAUCACAAA